RNAcentral lists this long non-coding RNA (5086 nucleotides) under Olea europaea subsp. europaea. Lineage: Eukaryota; Viridiplantae; Streptophyta; Magnoliopsida; Lamiales; Oleaceae. The record is from RNAcentral.
CUUAAAAUUUUGCUGUUUUUAAUACCAUUAACCUGUCUAAAUUAUUAACUGAGUUUAGGGCACGUCAAUUUGGACAUUUUGAGAAGAAAUAUGUUAGGAUUCAAGCUAAAAAGGAAUUGAAUGAAGUAGAUCCUUAAUUGAAUAAGAAUUGUGGAAAAUUACAUAAACGGAAUUGAUACUAGACCCCUUUUCUCACUCACCAAUUGCCUGCUUUCUCCCCUAACCUCUACCUCUAUUUACAGCUGAUUUCCUACUCGUUUUUCCCCCAGAACAUGCUUCCCAGCAGAUUCUAUUUUCCCUCCUUUUUUGAUUCUUCUAGAAUAUGUGAAGUGUAUCGGUGGCUUAUCAGUACUCCCGGGCUUCCAAGACACCUUGUCCUCAAGGUGAAAACUUGGAAUUGUUUAAGGAUAGAUUCUGUUGACUCCCAGGUUGCCUCGGUAAUAGGUAGGUCCUUCCAUUUUAUUAGUACCUCUCCACCUGGGCGUUCUCCCAAGACUUGAUCAGGCUCCACAAUCCAUUCAAGGUUUGAAUCGAGAUGAGAUGGAAAUAGUUUAUUUGCCUCAGUAGCACCUACUGCCUUCUUCAGCUGCGAUACAUGGAAGACGGUGUAUUGUAGUUUCAAGAGGCAAUUUUAGACGAUAUGCAACUGGCCCUAUACGUUUUUCUACCUCAAACGGACCAAAAUACUUAGGCCCUAACUUUUCAUUCUCCUUCUUGGCCAAUGAACAUAGGCGGUAGGGUUGUAAUUUGAUAUAAACCAAGUCCACGGUCACAAACUGGACAUCUCUUCUGUGCUUAUCUGCCUCUCUUUUCAUCCUUUCUUGAGCACGGAGAAGAUGAGAUUUUAACUCUUCUAGCAUAAGGUUAUGGUCUUUCAAUUGUUGUUCCACCAUUGCUACCAUUGUGACCUGAUUGCCAAGGCGAAUUAACGGAGGGAGGUCUCGUCCAUACACUGCCCAGAAGGGAGUUGUGUUCGUUGAAGAGUGAAAUGUUGUAUUAUACCAAUACUCAGCCCAUGGGAGCCAUGAGUACCAUGUCCAGGGCUGAUCAUAAGUGAAGCAACGAAGAUAAGUUUCCAAACACCUAUUGAUUACUUCGGUCUGCCCAUCGGUUUGAGAGUGAUAGGCUAUGCUUCGGCAAAGGAAGGUCCCUUGCAACCGAAAGUGCUCUGUCCAAAAAUGGCUUAAGAACAACUUAUCCCUAUCUUAGAUAAUAGAAUUGGGAAUGUCGUGGAGACGUACAACUUCAUUAACGAAAAUUGUCGUGACCCCAGCUGCUGUAAACGGGUGUUUAAGUGGGCACAAAAUGCGCGUACUUAAACGAUCCACCACGACUAAGAUUGCAUUGUACCUUCUUGAUCUCGGCAGUCCUUACACAAAAUCCAUUGAAAUGUCAUCCCAAAUGAGAUGGGGAAUCAGUAGAGGCUGCAGUAACCCGGCUAGAGAUAGAGCAUUAUCUUGUUUUGCUGACACACUGGACAUUCUGCUACAAACUUCUUGAUAUCUGCCUUCAUCCCUGUCCAAUAUAAGUCUCCAGUCAGUCGUUUGUAGGUGCGAAGGAACCCGGAAUGGCUUCCCAAUGUUCUACUAUUGAAUUCAUGUAGCAGAGAAGGAAUUAAAGUUGAAGUGCGAGAGAUCAUCGUCGCCCUUUGUAUAGCAACUUUCCCUAUAGGAUUGAGUACCGCGGGUGUGCAUCUGGGUCGUCCUGCAUUUCUUUCCUGAUUUUAGACAACACUGGAUCAUUUUUACUUCAGUCUCAAUUAAUUGUGCCUCCAAUAGUUUUGAGAAGGUGAGUGUCCUCGGUUUCAUAGGAGUGGGAAUGCGUGAUAAUGCAUCAGCUGCCUUAUUUUCCAAUCCUAGUCGAUAUUAAAUCUCAAAGUCAAAUCCCAACAGCUUGGUUACCCAGCAUUGGAAGUCCCUUGGGAUCAUUCUUUGUUCCAGGAGGUAUUUGAGGCUGUGCUGGUCGGUGCGAACAACAAAUUUCCUACCCAACACAUAAUGUCUCCAUUUUUGAAUUGCUAACACGACGGCCAUCAACUCUCUCUCGUAGAUGGACUUGUGUCGAGAUUUUGCUGAAAGUACUUGGUUGAAGAAUGCAACAGGCUGUUGGUCUUGCAUGAGGAUUGCCUCUACCCCCACAACUCGAAGCAUCGGUCUCUAUAAUGAAGGAUUUCGAGAAAUUAGGGAAGGCUAAAACUAGAACAGUAGUCAUAGCCUGCUUUAACCGCCCAAACGCCUCAUCUGCUUCUACAAUCCAGCCAAAUGAAUCUUUCUUCGACUGUUGGGUAAGUGGCCAAGAUAUGGUGCCAUAUCCUUCUACAAAUCUCCUGUAAUAGCCUGUUAGCCCCAAGAAACCUCGAAGUUUUUGCAGAUUUUGAGGAGUUGGCCAGUGAACCAUGGUCGUGAUUUUGCUUGGGGUCUGCUGCCACCCCCUCUGUUGAAACCAAGUGACCCAAGUAUGCUAUCUGUGGUUGAGCGAAGAGGCAUUUCUUUCUAUUUGCACUCAACUUAUGCCUUUUUAAAACGACAAACACCACCUCUAGAUGAUGCUUGUGGGACGCCACAUCUUUACUGUACACCGAAAUGUCAUCAAAGAAAACCAAAUUGAACUUCCUCAAAUAAUUUCUGAAUACCUAGUUCAUCAAUGACUGAAAUGUUGUUGGGGCAUUGGUGAGGCCGAAUGGCAUUACAAGGAAUUCGUAGUGUCCCUUGUGAGUCUUGAAAGGGAAUUCAAGAAAUUGGCAGUGGAACUAAAUCAACUUUGAUUGUCAUCUAGAAUUUCCUUGAAAGCCAUGAUGAAAACUCUACAGAACGAGGUAAGGAGGCGAUGGACAGGAGGAAAGGGAAUUCCCUUACCUCGUUCUGUAGUGUUUUCAUCAUGGCUUUCAAGGAAAUUCUUGAUUUAUUUAGCCCUUUAUCAACUUUGAGUGUCAUCCAACCAUCCCCCAAUUGGAAUUUCAUGGUCAACAACUUCCAGUUGACCUCUAUGCUCCUUGACGUGCCUAACCAUUUCAUGCCCAGUACCACAUUUGUGCUGCCUAAGUCCAGUGGCAAAAAGUCUUCGAUGAUUGUCAACCCUUGUAAUUCCAAUACUACUCCUUUGCACAUCCCUUUUCCCGUCAAUGACUCGCUCGUUCCCAUUACAACAUCAUAAUUUUUGGUAGCUGUGGUUGGCAGCCCUAUUUUACGAACUACUUCCAAAGAGAUAAAUUUGUGGGUUGCCCCACAAUCGAUCAACACCAUCACCUUUCGUGAUCUGAUUUUGCCCCUUAAUUUCAUGGUGCCUGGCGGGUCAGCCCUAUCACAGAGUUGAGCGAUAAUUCUACCGUCUCUGUUACCUCGAGCGAUAGUUCCCCCACCGAAUUUUCGUAGUCAGUCGCCCCUUCUCUUCGCAGUCCUGCACCAACAAUACACGCAACUCCCGAUUUUUGCACCUGUGACCAAUCGUGUAUUUUUCCUCACAACGAAAGCAUAGACCCUUCUCUCGCUUCGACCUCCACUCUACGUCAGUCAUGCGUUUUAUGGGUGUUUCUCUCUUAUUAUUGGUAAGUCGGUUCUCCACCGUCACUGCCUUGGUGGAGAACGUUCUUGCCUUGAUUGAAUUUGGGACGAAUUUGUGAAUUUUCUGGGCUGAUGCUUAGCACCAAAUUUUGAUCCUCCACCUUUUGGGCUGCCUCCAUUAUCUGGCUCAAUCCUGUCGGGCACAAUAAGCAUAUUUCAGCCCAAAUUUUUGGUAGAAGCCCAUUCAUGAACGUGCUUUCAAGCACUUCAUCAGGGAGAUCUUUUAACGGUGCAGCCAAAACCUCAAAUGCUCUCCUAAAUUCUGCGACUAACCCUUCCUGCUUCACCGCAAAAAACUUCUCACAUAAACUGCCAUCCUGGGUUGGCCUGAAAUGCAUUAGGAGUUGUUUUCAAAAGUCCUGCUAGUUCUGGAAUGGCCUCCUUGCCUCCGUCCAUUGAAGCCACGAGAGAGUAUUGCCUUCCAAGCUUACACCAAUUACUCCUAUUCUCUCACGCUCCGUCAAUCCAUUGAUCUCAAAAUACCUUUGCGCACAGGAGAGCCACCCAUCUGAAUCUUCCCCACUAAAAAUGGGCGUUUCGAGCUUCCUCACUCGACGCCAACUGUCUCCUCCUCCUUCAUGGUCCGUGGCAAUUGAUAUUCUCCCCUAGCUAGCUUCCCCAAUGCCUUUUUGCCAUUCGCUACGUUCCAUCGUUCGUUGAUCGCCCACGGCAGUUGGAAGUAUGUUUGGAGGUACAUGCCCUCUGGUAAUACUCCCUAACCCAUCGCCUUUCGAUCUUCCCUUUGUCCCCGACUUUGGAUUUGAGAAGGCUGCUACUGCCCUUCUAGUUUCUUCCAAGGCUUGCAUCAUUUUGCCUACGUUCUGAGCCAAAUGUUCCAUUGUCCGUUCUAAGCCUGGUAGCCUUUGCAACUCGAUCUUAACUUCUUCCAACUCUUUCUCCAUGGAUUCUAUCCUGCCUUCUGUUUUUUUCUUUUUUUUUUUUUUUUUUUUUAGCCAUCAGGAUACACAUGCUCUGAUACCAAUUUGUUAGGAUUCAAGCUAAAAAGGAAUUGAAUAAAGUAGAUCUUUUAUUAAAUAAGAACUGUGGAAAAUUACAUAAACGGAAUUGAUACUAGACCCCUUUCCUCACUCACCAAUUUGAUGGUCAAGGCCUGGGUCUUCCGUGUGGAACGCUAUUUCACCAUCAACCGAAUGACGAAGGAGAAGGAGAGAAGCCGCGAUGGUCUUUUUGGAAGGAGAAGCUUUGGCCUGUAUCAAUGGGAAGAUCAACAGCGAGCCAUUUUGAAUUGGAAAGAGUUGAAACUCUGACUGCUGCAACGAUUUCGUUUGUCGCAGCAAGGGUCCCUCUACGCUCUGUUUCUGGCCCUUUGCCAGACUACCACCUUGAGGAGUAUCGUCAACAGUUUGAGAUCCUUGCGUCACUGUUACAAAACAUUUCGGAGGAGGAAAGUAAUUUUAUUAAUGGACUAAAGGCAAAUAUAAAGACAGAGGUCCAAUUGCUUAAGCUAGUGGGCCUAGAGCAAAUUAUGGAGGUGGCUUUCCAGGUUGAAGAGAGGAAUAACGUGA